GACGAACGCUGGCGGCGUGCUUAACACAUGCAAGUCGAACGGAAAGGCCCUGCUUUUGUGGGGUGCUCGAGUGGCGAACGGGUGAGUAACACGUGAGUAACCUGCCCUUGACUUUGGGAUAACUUCAGGAAACUGGGGCUCAUACCGGAUAGGAGCUCCUGCUGCAUGGUGGGGGUUGGAAAGUUUCGGCGGUUGGGGAUGGACUCGCGGCUUAUCAGCUUGUUGGUGGGGUAGUGGCUUACCAAGGCUUUGACGGGUAGCCGGCCUGAGAGGGUGACCGGCGACAUUGGGACUGAGAUACGGCCCAGACUCCUACGGGAGGCAGCAGUGGAGAAUAUUGCACAAUGGGCGGAAGCCUGAUGCAGCAACGCCGCGUGCGGGAUGACGGCCUUCGGGUUGUAAACCGCUUUCGCCUGUGACGAAGCGUGAGUGACGGUAAUGGGUAAAGAAGCACCGGCUAACUACGUG
RNAcentral lists this ribosomal RNA (468 nucleotides) under uncultured bacterium. RNAcentral's name for it is "partial 16S ribosomal RNA". It matches the Rfam family "Bacterial small subunit ribosomal RNA", at positions 28 to 507 of the family's 1533-position model. The record is from RNAcentral.